UGAGGAAUAUUGGUCAAUGGACGGAAGUCUGAACCAGCCAAGUAGCGUGCAGGAUGACGGCCCUAUGGGUUGUAAACUGCUUUUGUAUGGGGAUAAAGUUAGGGACGUGUCCCUAUUUGCAGGUACCAUACGAAUAAGGACCGGCUAAUUCCGUGCCAGCAGCCGCGGUAAUACGGAAGGUCCAGGCGUUAUCCGGAUUUAUUGGGUUUAAAGGGAGCGUAGGCUGGAGAUUAAGUGUGUUGUGAAAUGUAGACGCCCAACGUCUGAAUUGCAGCGCAUACUGGUUUCCUUGAGUACGCACAACGUUGGCGGAAUUCGUCGUGUAGCGGUGAAAUGCUUAGAUAUGACGAAGAACUCCGAUUGCGAAGGCAGCUGACGGGAGCGCAACUGACGCUUAAGCUCGAAGGUGCGGGUAUCAAACAGGAUUAGAUACCCUGGUAGUCCGCACAGUAAACGAUGGAUGCCCGCUGUUGGUACCUGGUAUCAGCGGCUAAGCGAAAGCAUUAAGCAUCCCACCUGGGGAGUACGCCGGCAACGGUG
This 540-nucleotide ribosomal RNA is filed under the name uncultured bacterium. RNAcentral's name for it is "bacterial SSU rRNA". It matches the Rfam family "Bacterial small subunit ribosomal RNA", at positions 355 to 896 of the family's 1533-position model. The record is from RNAcentral.